Molecule: long non-coding RNA, 403 nt
Organism: Oncorhynchus keta (chum salmon)
Lineage: Eukaryota; Metazoa; Chordata; Actinopteri; Salmoniformes; Salmonidae
Exons: 3
Source: RefSeq, a predicted model, not a curated record
UACAAGGUGUUGAAAGCCUUCCACAGGGUCUCUACAAGGUGUUGAAAGCCUUCCACAGGGUCUCUACAAGGUGUUGAAAGCCUUCCACAGGGUCUCUACAAGGUGUUGAAAGCCUUCCACAGGGUCUCUACAAGGUGUUGAAAGCCUUCCACAGGGACUCUACAAGGUGUUGAAAGCCUUCCACAGGGACUCUACAAGGUGUUGAAAGCCUUCCACAGGGACUCUACAAGGUGUUGAAAGCCUUCCACAGGGUCUCUACAAGGUGUUGAAAGCCUUCCACAGGGUCUCUACAAGGUGUUGAAAGCCUUCCACAGGGACUCUACAAGGUGUUGAAAGCCUUCCACAGGGUCUCUACAAGGUGUUGAAAGCCUUCCACAGGGUCUCUACAAGGUGUUGAAAGCCU